This 383-nucleotide ribosomal RNA is filed under the name uncultured eukaryote. RNAcentral's name for it is "partial 18S ribosomal RNA". It matches the Rfam family "Eukaryotic small subunit ribosomal RNA", at positions 592 to 976 of the family's 1831-position model. The record is from RNAcentral.
CAAUAGCGUAUAUUAAAGUUGUUGCAGUUAAAAAGCUCGUAGUUGGAUUUCUGGUGGGAGCGAUCGGUCUGGCGCUUAGCGCGAGUACUUGCAUCGUCUCCGGCCAUCCUUGGGGAGAGUCUGUCUGGCAUUAGGUUGUCGGGCAGAGGAUCCUCAUCGUUUACUGUGAAAAAAUUAGAGUGUUCAAAGCAGGCUUAUGCCGUUGAAUAUAUUAGCAUGGAAUAAUAAGAUAGGACUUUGGUACUAUUUUGUUGGUUUGCGCACCAAAGUAAUGAUUAAUAGGGACAGUUGGGGGUAUUCGUAUUCCGUUGUCAGAGGUGAAAUUCUUGGAUUUACGGAAGACGAACUACUGCGAAAGCAUUUACCAAGGAUGUUUUCAUUAG